GCUAGGAGACAUUAGAUGGUUCUGGGUGGUUGCUAUGUAGUUCUUAGGGGGUUUGGGGUGGUUACUAGGGUGUUGCUAGGAGUCAUUAGAGGGUUCUGGGUGGUUCCUAUGUAGUUCUUAGGGGAUUUGGGGUGGUUACUAGGGUGUUGCUAGGAGACAUUAGAUGGUUCUGGGUGGUUGCUAUGUAGUUCUUAGGGGGUUCGGGGUGGUUACUAGGGUGUUGCUAGGAGUCAUUAGAGGGUUCUGGGUGGAUUCUUCUUGUUAGGGGAUUCGGGGUGGUUACUAGGGUGUUGCUAGGAGUCAUUAGAGGGUUUUGGGUGGUUGCUAGGUAGUUCUUAGGGGAUUCAAGGUGGUUACUAGGGUGUUGCUAGGAGUCAUUAGAGGGUUCUGGGUGGAUUCUUCUUGUUAGGGGUUUGGGGUGGUUACUAGGGUGUUGCUAGGAGACAUUAGAUGGUUCUGGGUGGUUGCUAUGUAGUUCUUAGGGGGUUUGGGGUGGUUACUAGGGUGUUGCUAGGAGACAUUAGAUGGUUCUGGGUGGUUGCUAUGUAGUUCUUAGGGGGUUCUGGGUGGUUACUAGGGUGUUGCUAGGAGUCAUUAGAGGGUUCUGGGGGGUUGCUAUGUAGUUCUUAAGGGAUUCGGGGUGGUAAUUAGGGUGUUGCUAGGGGUCAUUAGAGGGUUCUGGGUGGUUGCUAUGUAGUUCUUAGGGGGUUCUGGGUGGUUACUAGGGUGUUGCUAGAAGUCAUUAGAUGGUUCUGGGUGGAUUUUUGUUGUUAGCGGUUCGGGGUGGUUACUAGGGUGUUGCUUGGGGUCAUUAGAGGGUUCUGCGUAGUUGCUAGGUAGCUGUUAGGGAGUUCUAGGUACUUCACCCCUCACAACACUCUUAUCUUCAGGUCUGUAGAUGUGGCUCGGUUCCCUCCUUCAAAGUAAGCCUGUGAGAUUUUUUUAAACCCAUUUUUUUUUUGUCCAGCAGGUGAAAAUAUUUAGGGUCACUUAUAAGUACUAAUGCUUAGUGUUUUGAACAAACUCCUAGCACUGAGCACUAGUAACAGUGAUGCUUGACUUAAAAAAAAAAAAGUAAUAACACGAUCAUCAUUUCCAGCAUGAGUUGAUCAUCUGUAAUACCUGCCGUCCCACCCAGUCUAACAGACACAAAAGAUCUGCUCAUUCCUUCUUCUGCUUCAUGUGUUCAGAACAAAUAGUGAUCAGCUGCUAAACACGUCACGUUUGCUUUCUACGCAGGCAGGAAGCAGUGAUGUGAAACUGCCACCAUGCCAUUUUAUGGAUUGACGUAAUAAAGCACAAACAUUCUGACAUGAUCAUCUAACAUGUUUCAUGGAAGAAAGAAAUUAAUAUGGUUUGGAGUGACACGUUGAAAUAAAAAAAAUCAUAAUGAUGACAAAACCAG
This is a long non-coding RNA of Cyprinus carpio carpio, 1405 nucleotides long. The record is from Ensembl. NCBI's taxonomy places the organism in Eukaryota, Metazoa, Chordata, Actinopteri, Cypriniformes, Cyprinidae.